GUGCGGAGCCCGGCCUCUCUGGCGUCCCCUGGCGCGGUCGGCGGGGCAACUCGCCUUUCCCGCCCCCCCCCCUUUUUUUUUAAAUAAUCAUAAAUCACCUUUUUUUUCCCCCCCCUUUUUUUAUAGUAAAUAACGCGGCUCUGUUUGCCAGCGCGCUGAGGAGAGGGUGGGCGGGAGGCCCCCUGCUAGGCGGGCUGCCUGUGUUUCACACCGUCGUUUUCCAACUUACCUCGCUGCGCGCGAAGAGGGCGUUUGCCUGACAGAAAUACCUCGUGGGCCUGCGCGGUGGGGCUCGAAACUCGGAGAUAAAAUCGGGAAAAUUCGGGCAGUGGCUGGAAGGCAGAGCAGAUGUUGCAAGUUUAUCCUAAGCCUGAAACGGAAUAUUGUUUGAGGUGGUGGCUGCGCAGUCAGAGCCACGACAGUCAGCUCGGCCCCGGUGGGCUCACAGCGGUUUUCCGUGUGAAAACCAUCACAGCGAGYGAACAGAAGAGUGGUGAGCAACAAUAGAGAAGCAGAGGUAACUGGAUGUGGAGUGGAAAUGUAUGCCCACACCAACUAAAUGCUUUCUGGAUUCUUCUCUUUAAGUGGACAGCUCUGCUAUGGCUUUGAAGAAAACACUGAAACCAAAGUUGAUAAGCAAUGCAGCGGUGCUGGCCUGAGUCCACAGAAGGUGUGCAGCAGUAGCUCUGAGAGGUAAGGUGCUCCUCUGUCUUACUGCUGACAUAUCACAGCUAUCAGCA
This 740-nucleotide long non-coding RNA is filed under the name Apteryx rowi (Okarito brown kiwi). RNAcentral describes it as "lncRNA (ENSARWG00000006795.1)". Lineage: Eukaryota; Metazoa; Chordata; Aves; Apterygiformes; Apterygidae. The record is from RNAcentral.